CUGAAACUCGCCUACAUGAAGCUGGAAUUGCUAGUAAUCACAGGUCAGCAUACUGUGGUGAAUACGUUCCCGGGCCUUGUACACACCGCCCGUCACACCAUGAGAGUUGAGAAUACCCGAAGGCCCCAUGUCAAAGUGGUCGAAGGUAGGCUUGAUGAUUGGGGUGAAGUCGUAACAAGGUAAC
RNAcentral lists this ribosomal RNA (184 nucleotides) under uncultured bacterium. RNAcentral's name for it is "partial 16S ribosomal RNA". It matches the Rfam family "Bacterial small subunit ribosomal RNA", at positions 1305 to 1500 of the family's 1533-position model. The record is from RNAcentral.